UAGUUGAUCCUGCCGGACUGACCGUAUCGUAUUGGUCUAAGCCAUGCGAGUCGUUGUAGCAAUACAAGGCGAACUGCUCAGUAACACGUAGUUAACCUAACCUAUGGAUGGGGAUAACCUCGGGAAACUGAGAAUAAUACCCAAUAGAUCACAGUGCCUGGAAUGGCCUGUGAUUGAAAUGAUUUAUCGCUGUAGGAUAGGACUGCGGCCUAUCAGCUUGUUGGUGAGGUAAUGGGCCACCAAUGGCUAUAACAGGUACGGGCUCUGAGAUGAGGGGCCCGGAGAUGGGUACUGAGACAAGGAC
RNAcentral lists this ribosomal RNA (304 nucleotides) under uncultured archaeon. Its description in RNAcentral is "bacterial SSU rRNA". It matches the Rfam family "Archaeal small subunit ribosomal RNA", at positions 5 to 315 of the family's 1478-position model. The record is from RNAcentral.